Non-coding RNA from Podarcis lilfordi (Lilford's wall lizard), 1698 nucleotides. The record is from the annotation of a GenBank genome assembly. Lineage: Eukaryota; Metazoa; Chordata; Lepidosauria; Squamata; Lacertidae.
CUUGAGACAGCUUCAAUUAAGAACAUGUGCUUGCUUUCCUGUGAUUAGCACUCUGUUUUAGUACUCCAACACUAUCCAGCACUUCAGUAAUUUUCCUAAAGAAGAGAGAAUUAUUUAAAUCUUCUGCUCCUAGCCAUGGUAAGUCAGUUUUCUGACUGCUUGGCGAGACGUUUUCUGGAAUUCAUGAGGUACUUGAAACACAACAUCUUCUUUAACGUAAAUGUAAUUACAAUAAAUUAUGUAGAUUAUUAGAAAGCAAUGGGAUGUGACUUCUCAGAUCUUCAACUGACAAUUCUUUGGAGGCUGAGGCCAGCAAAGCCAGCAAUGUGAAGAUAUUCUGCAGAAUAGGUAUGAAUCCCACACAGGGUAUUGUGGUUAGCCUUGUAAUCCUGAAGCAAAACUCCUGCGCUGUAGGUUAAUAUUCCCCAUGCUGCAGAAGAGCUGAGAGAAAGAAAGAGUGCCUUAUUUUUAAUUACUUUUCAAGUUUAUGCCAAAAGCUUUAGGUUACUGAAUGAUUCUCUCUCAACCCUCCUUAUAACUAUAUGCAUACUUAACUCAAAGGUAAAGGUAAAGGAAAAGGACCCCUGGACGGUUAAGUCCAGUCAAAGGUGACUAUGGGGUUGCGGCGCUCAUCUCACUUUCAGGCUGAGGGGUUUGUCCACAAGCAGCUUUCUGGGUCAUGUGGCCAGCAUGACUAAACCGCUUCUGGCACAAUGGAACACUGUGAUGGAAACCAGAGUGCAUGGAAACACAGUUUACCUUCCCACCACAGCAGUAUCUAUUUACCUAGCAGUUCGAAAGCACCCUUAAGUGCAAGUAGAUAAAUAGGUACCGCUUUACAGCGGGAAGAUAAACGGCGUUUCCGUGUGCUGCUCUGGUAACGGUUCACCGGAGCAGCUUCAUCACGCUGGCCACGUGACCCGGAAGUGUCUGCGGACAGUGCUGGCUCCCGGCCUCUUAAGUGAGAUGAGUGCACAACCCUAGAGUCGGACACGACUAGCCCGUACGGGCAGGGGUACCUUUACUGGUAUGCUUUCAAUCUGCUAGGCUGGCAGGAGCUGGGACAGAGCAACAGGAGCUCACCCCGAACUGCUGACCUUCUGAUCGGCAAGCCCAAGAGGCUCAGUAGUUUAAACCACAGCACCACCUGUGUCCUCAAACGUUACUCAAAUGUAAGCCGUAUGUGAGCACUGGGGUUAGGAAAGAGUAGCUCUCCAUAAUAUUGCAGUGGUAGUUCCUGCCAUUGGCAUGUCAGUUGAAAGUCUUGCUUUAAGGUAAUGUAUAUAAGGGACUCUGAACAACUGCAUGAAUCUUAUACAAGGAUUUCUCUUCCUAAAUUCACACAGUGCUUAUCUCCAUCCUAAUAUCAGCCAAAAUGGGGAAGAAAAAGAAGGAAGGGGGGGAUACUAGGAAUGAAACAGCAACACACCAGAAUUAUUUUUCUAUUCUUAAAUGGUAUAUCUGCUCUUAAAAUAAUAAAGACAAUUUUAGGGGUAAGAACCUUGUUGAUCUGAUAACCUAUCUGAUCUGAUAACCUACUCCAUAGAGUAUCCUGGUGACUCAUUUGGAAAGAAACUCCACUCUGCACAUGUUCAGACAGCUGAAAGAUCCUUUCUGCAUGCCAUAAACAGACAUUCCUGUUAAGAGUUGUUCAGUGGAAUCCUGAUCUGGACCUUGUGUAGAAACAAAUUAUCUCCA